This 74-nucleotide transfer RNA is filed under the name Mycobacterium phage Nebkiss. RNAcentral's name for it is "tRNA-Trp". It matches the Rfam family "tRNA". From Rfam's summary of the family: Transfer RNA (tRNA) molecules are approximately 80 nucleotides in length. Their secondary structure includes four short double-helical elements and three loops (D, anti-codon, and T loops). Further hydrogen bonds mediate the characteristic L-shaped molecular structure. tRNAs have two regions of fundamental functional importance: the anti-codon, which is responsible for specific mRNA codon recognition, and the 3' end, to which the tRNAs corresponding amino acid is attached (by aminoacyl-tRNA synthetases). tRNAs cope with the degeneracy of the genetic code in two manners: having more than one tRNA (with a specific anti-codon) for a particular amino acid; and 'wobble' base-pairing, i.e. permitting non-standard base-pairing at the 3rd anti-codon position. Lineage: Duplodnaviria; Heunggongvirae; Uroviricota; Caudoviricetes. The record is from RNAcentral.
UGGCCCUUGGCGCAAUUGGCAGCGCGGCGGAUUCCAAACCCGCAGGUUGCACGUUCGAGUCGUGCAGGGUCAGC